RNAcentral lists this ribosomal RNA (475 nucleotides) under unidentified nematode Sourhope farm. RNAcentral's name for it is "SSU rRNA". It matches the Rfam family "Eukaryotic small subunit ribosomal RNA", at positions 58 to 529 of the family's 1831-position model. Lineage: Eukaryota; Metazoa; Nematoda. The record is from RNAcentral.
UCUAAGUAUGACCUGCCAGACAGGGGAACUGCGUACGGCUCAUUACACCAGCCUUUAUUUACUUGACCUUGACAACCUACUUGGAUAACUGUGGUAAUUCUAGAGCUAAUACAUGCACCAAAGCUCCGAUCCUCGCGGAGAGGAGCGCAUUUGUUCGCCACAAAACCAAGCGCCCAUCUGGGCGUCCAGUGCUGAACCAGAACAACUCAGCUGAUCGCACGGUCUUGUACCGGCGACGUGUCUUUCAAGUGUCUGCCUUAUCAACUUUCGAUGGUAGUGUACCUGACUACCAUGGUUGUGACGGGUAACGGAGGAUAAGGGUUCGACUCCGGAGAAGGGGCCUGAGAAAUGGCCACUACGUCUAAGGAUGGCAGCAGGCGCGCAAAUUACCCACUCUCUACGCGAGGAGGUAGUGACGAGAAAUAACGAGACCGUUCUCAUACGAGGCCGGUUAUUGGAAUGGGUACAAUUUAAA